UAAAAGUUUAAUACAAUAAGUAUUCCAAAAGCUAUUACAUCAAAUGAGUGGCUUUGUGGGCAUACUUCCAACAAAAGUUUCGUAGGAUGCAUAUUGCGUCAAAAUGGUAGAUUAAACAAACACUUAGAUUUAAUAUUAUACUUCCAUUAAGUAUAAUCCACUAGUGUAAAUAUUUUAAAUUGAAGAUCAAAUUUAUUCAUUGCAUUCUUAUAGGGUCUAGUAGUGUUUCUGUAAAAAAUCAUUAAAAUCAAAGCUAAAAUAACCAUUAAAUUGUGAUUUUUCGUUUAUAAGUGUCGAAAACUUUUGUUUUGUUACGUAAUCUAAGAAUGUUUGUUUUUUAUGAUUUUUUUACGUAUGCAAUCUCGAAGUGUGUACAAAUAAAUUUGACGGUUGUAUCGUUGAAAAAAGUUUCAUAGAAUGUAUAUCGCAUCAAAACGGUUGAUUAAACAAACAUUUAGAGUUAAUAUUAUACUUCCAUUAAGUAUAAAAUAAGAUUUGGUGGUAUUGACACACCCCGUCCCGAAAGAGGGCAUGCUGGCCGUCACGUGAGAGUGACGUAACCAUUUACACAGUUCGGAAGCUUUAAAGAUACAAUUACUAAGAUGUAACACCCGAGGGUGAGUCCUACUUUUGUGAAUUCUGUCAGAACAUCGUGGGAAUCCU
This 663-nucleotide long non-coding RNA is filed under the name Malus domestica (apple). RNAcentral describes it as "long non-coding RNA (MDOM_LNC021203)". The record is from RNAcentral. Lineage: Eukaryota; Viridiplantae; Streptophyta; Magnoliopsida; Rosales; Rosaceae.